Molecule: long non-coding RNA, 848 nt
Organism: Myotis davidii
Lineage: Eukaryota; Metazoa; Chordata; Mammalia; Chiroptera; Vespertilionidae
Exons: 3
Source: RefSeq, a predicted model, not a curated record
UGACUAGGAAUCGAACUGCAACCUCCUGGUUCAUGUGUUGAUGCUCAAACACUGAGCCACUCUGGCCGGGCUGUAUGAGAGUCAAAACUACUAGGUAAGUACCUUAAAGAUACUUAAGGUUUAUGAUAACAACAUAAUGCAUGGUCCUGGAUUCCCUAUUGGUUUAAACAAGUUGCUAUAAAAGAUAACUGGGGUCAAUUGGGAAAUUUUUAGUAUGGAUGGGAUUAGAUAAGGUGCAAAUUUACAAAAAUGAAAAGUUCAAAAUCAUUAACAAAAUGCCAGUUCCAAAACCAUAUAUACAGAAUAAUCAUAUUUUGUUUAUAAUAUGUCUAUAUAUUUAUUUUAAAAAAGAUCUGAAAGGAUAUGCCCUAAGGUGAUCUCUGGUGAAAAUGUUUUAUUGCUGUUAGUCUACAUUUUCUAUUUUUAUACAAUACAUGUGUAUUGCAUCUGUAAUAAUUAUUACAAAUAAAAUAACUGGUUGCCAGCAUUGAUCCUUCAGGAAAUUUCACAUAAAAAUCUGGAUAUUGUAUAUGAAGAGCUGGAUUUCUAAGUGUGUUUUUUCCAAUAAUCAAAUAUGUCACCCCUGGACUUCCAUUCCCACACGGCAACAAUCGGUUGGAACCAGGUGAUGGCUGCUCCUUUUUUCUCUCCUAGUUUGUCACGCUCCCUACCAUUCCUUCUUCUGUAUGCUUCACAAAUUGCUUACCUGCCUUAUUCCCGCAGACAUCUGAGAUAGUAACCCUUGAUUUGGAUAAACUCAAUGGCCUCCCCAUCCAUAGAGCCUCUCAUUAUUAAUCAUUUGAAGGUACCAAUAAAUUAACUGACCGAGAAAAGCAUCCAUUUCAGAA